This 540-nucleotide long non-coding RNA is filed under the name Bos taurus (domestic cattle). Its description in RNAcentral is "long non-coding RNA NONBTAT014835". The record is from RNAcentral. Lineage: Eukaryota; Metazoa; Chordata; Mammalia; Artiodactyla; Bovidae.
UAAAAUUCUUACGAGGGUCCAACUUAAUAAUUCUGCUGGCUCUUAAUGAAUGAUUUUUUCCCCUGCGGAAAUAUCAUAGGAUGAAAUUGCAUGUGGAGUGUGAUAGAAGUGUAUUCAUCCUUAGGUUAGUAUAGAAAGUACUGGAUUCUGGCCCACGUAUUUCUUUUAUGCUCACCUAUAAAAUAUGUGUGUAUUUCAGGCAUUCAUUUGGGAUUAUUUAGAUACUCCCUUACCCUCAUAUGUCAUCCAAGGGGUUAUUCAUAACCGUGAGAUAGAUUAAUGAUGCCCUCGGAAAAGUGGAAACUGAAAAUAUAAACAUAUUUUCGUCAAUACAAUUGACAGUUAAUUGGCUGGUGUUCAUGGGGGGUUGAAGUAAAAUAGACACCAUAACUCUAAAAAAAAUUUUUUUUUUCUCAUUUGGAGCCCACUUUGUUCAUACUACAUAGGAAGCUAAUGUUUCAAUUAAAUGUGACAUAGGUAUAUAUAUUUACUUACCUAAUUGUCUUCUUUCUGUUAAUAAUACAAUCAUAUAUUUGUCUA